Molecule: long non-coding RNA, 3569 nt
Organism: Lycium ferocissimum
Lineage: Eukaryota; Viridiplantae; Streptophyta; Magnoliopsida; Solanales; Solanaceae
Exons: 2
Source: RefSeq, a predicted model, not a curated record
CCCACCCUCUACGAGAAAACCGUCCCAUCGCCGUGUAGACAUCACCACUGUGACGCCGGUGGCAUGACAAUACAGAAAAGGACGAGACUCGUCCUUACUUUUCGAUGCUUUGCACGAUUUUCCGACCAAACUUGUCCUUAAAGUUUGGGAAAGGGAGAAGGCUCUCAAUUUCAUUCUUGGAGAUAGGCUGUGCUAAAAAAAGGUAAAUACUAUUUUAUUUACAACUUUUUUUAAUUUCUUGCUUAAUUAGUGCUUUAGUUUCAGUUUUGGUUAGUUUAUUGUAGUAUUUAGUAAUUGUGUAAUGUUGCUUACUUGUUGAUGUUUGAGAGCUGUUAGAAUAGGAUUUUGAUGGCUAAAAUGGUGAUUUGAUUAUGGUUGAUAAUGGUUUGCUAGUAGAGAUAUUAGAUUUCUCUUGAAUACUUCGAAAAUUUGUACAACGUGAUUCAAAUAAGCUGUUUGAUUGCCUUUAGUUGGUAUGGAAACAAAAUUAUAUUGAUUUCAUUCAGUCUUAUACUUGUUUGCUUAUCCGGCUUACACUUGCAAUGUGAAAUUUAUGUGGAAUUUUGGGAGGUGGGUGUUAAUCUGUCUCACUAAUGCAUCAAUAUGGUAAAAAACUGAGUGUGAGUCUUGUCAUUACUCUUGGUUCUUCUUCUCUGUUUUGUAACUUUUACUUACUUAUGAGAAUAAAAAAAAAAGAUGCUUUGCCUAAUUUUGAAAUGGUGAAAUGAGGUCUGUGUCUUGCUCAAUUGCAUCUCUUUAAGUUCUGAAGAUUAUGUAUGCCUCUGCUUCUUUGUGCUUGGAUUGAUAAUUGAUUUUGUCUCUAUGGGUCAUUGGUAAUUUGAUCAUGUUUGAUCUUUCUCAGAGCCUGUCUAUUGUUAUUAUGGUCAUAUCAUGCCCUUGUUUGUUCUUGUGUUUGAAAAUAGUUGUUGUAAUGAACCAAAAUUCAUCAUGCCUAGAUAAUGCACCUCUUUUAUGAACUUGCCAAGCUUUCAAAUGCCUAAAUGCUGAAGUCAUGUCAUUUAAAUUGUAUGGUUUGCCUAUUCAGUGUCCAGAAAGUAUAAUAAAUGCCUUCCCCUCUGUAAUCCCUAGACCAUGUGUACUGCAUCUCUUUUGUCUUGAGCUGUUAGUGGCCAGGUUGCUCAUAUGAAAGUAUGAAACUUGUAAGUUUCACAUGUUUUGAUUGUAUUUAGGAACCUUGUACUGUGAACCAUGCUCAAACUGCUGUUUUGUUUGCCCUUCUGUGGUGAUUGCUUGAUUUGACAAAAGUUGUUAAGUCUUGCAUGGCCUGGGAACAGGUUGUGUUCCUCCAAGGUCUAAGUAGCAUGACAUUGAGUCUUUGAAUCUUCCUGAUAAGUGGUGUCACAUGGUUGUCCUAUUAUGUUGCUUGACCUUGCUCCCUUUGAUAACUGAUUGCUGGUUCAACCUGUGUAUGUUUGUCAUUCGUAAAUAUCUUCAAAAAACCAAAUCUGUCCUCAUCUGUGAUUUACUUAAGGUCCAACUUACUGUAGAGUCAUCAUGUACCAUGGGUUGUUCUUUUCCUUUUUGUGUUGUCUUAAGUCUUACUAUGCCUCGUCACUCACUUACCUGAUCAAAUAGCAUUGAUCCCACUUCACUAUUCUGCUGAGCUUUAGCUGAAUCAUUUGCACCUAUACUUGCCUUAUUCUACCAUUAUAUCUGAGUGUUUCCCCCUACAUCUUGUUUUGAAUGUUAUUUUCUCUUAGUUUGCCUCUGUACCCUGUAUGAUUAACUGGUCCAGUGUCCUGAUUCUUGGGUUACUUGUCUUGGAACUUUGGGACCUUAUACUUAUGCUGUCAAGACCCUGCACCAUGUGUUUCAAACUACUUGCCUGUUUUCUCUGUUUACUUGCUCUUCUUGUGCACAUGUGUAUCCCUUACCUAUUUCCCUUAUCUGCAAAUUAACCCUGUGUAUGAGUAUGUCCAGUGACCUUAGGCACACAUUAAUGACACUAGAAUUGACUCAACUUGUGACUUAUGUGCCUUGGAUGACUGAUAUGGUUUGCCCUUUUAAAAUUCCUGCCUGCUACCUGCACUCGACCAUGCAUCCUAUACUUGGAAUUGACUCUUGCAUUGACUUUCAUGCCUCUCUUGAACUUAUAACCAUGGAUGCAAUGCCAUUAUUGACAUUAAAUCCUUGGUAAGUCUGCUGCUGUGCCUUCCCAUAUUUGAAAAUGUUCCCUCGGUGUCUUUCGAUGUAUGAAGCCACACUCUACUUAGAUUUGCAUUGUUGUUUUGAGUUGGUUGUCAACCUGAUUUGCCUUUGACCAUCCCUGAGAUGCCAUGAUAUAGCUAUCAUCCUAUAGCACUCAUUUGCUUCUCUUCAACUUUUUUGAGUAUGUGAUCAUGGUUGAUAUUCAUGCUCCUCUGAAUAAGUUUAAGCAUGCCUCUUUCAUUUUAGUAUGCAUACUUGACAUAUCUGCCUAGGUCUAGUUAUAUUUGGCUUAACUGAUUGUGGCUGACUACCACUUGCUGAAUAUGAGAUGCUUCUCUUUGAAUUAAGCUUGUCAUUGAGUUUUAAGGUGCACAUUUACCCAUCAUGUUUGUUCUCUGAUGACAUGUAUCUACUGCCUACACUUUCUUUUUACUAUUCAAUGUUACCUGCUCUUGCUGUAGCUCUAAGUCCACUCAUGAGAUGGUUAUUGUCUGGUUUGCCUUUGCUUGUCCUUAGUAACUGCGUAUUUCUUCCAUUUUGCCUUGCUUACAGCUACUGUUACUGCUUGCCUUUGCCCCUUCAAAGGAGUUGUGUGUUUGAUUUGUUAUUACUAUUUUGUGUCAUUAAGGUCUUCUAUAAUAUGAACUUCAUGUGUAUGUACUUGUAUAUUGUCUCCUUUGAUUGCUUACUCUUCCCUGUAUCUAUGUGAAAACUGUACCAACCCUCACCAUGAUUACUUGUAUAUUUAAGUGAUCUCCUGGUUCUGUACUCUCUCAGUCCCUUCUAAUGAGAUUCAAAUAGAUCUAGGACCAAGUGUGGUAAUUGGGGGUUGUCUUAAUCUCCCCAGUGUUAGCCAUGCCUGGGGGUCCUUUGAGACCCCUUGGAACUUGUACGACAUCGGGAAUACGAGAUUAAGACCUAGUCCCCAUGCCAUUCUAAGUCUUAGGAUAAUUUGAGCACUAUUUGUAUAGUCAAAUGGGUAAAUAUGGAUCAAGUGUGAUUACCUUAUAUAUGUGUGUGUAUGUGUGUAUACUUUAUCUUAUAUACAUGUGUGUGUGUUUAUAACUUUAGUCAUUUACCUUAGUGAUAAGUUCAGCGAUUAUAAACUAACCGGUGUUUUUUUUCCUUCCUCCUCCUCCUCGUACGUGGCCGUUCGGGUCUAAUUCAAAGCCCACCCAUUGGGCCUAAGGGCCAAAUGGGAAUAUUAUUUCAAAUCGAGUCCGAAAAGACAAAGAAAAUAGCAAGGCGCGCAGAAGGCCCAGUCAUGGGUGAAAAUGGUCAACUAGGGGCUUGGUACGCCCCUAGUCUAACUUAGCCUCUUCAUAUUCACUCACAUGUUGUUUAAUUUGAUAAAAACUUGUAUUCAAACUCAUAAUAUAUUGGAAACCGUAUGAUUGGAA